RNAcentral lists this unclassified non-coding RNA (337 nucleotides) under soil metagenome. RNAcentral describes it as "partial contains 5.8S ribosomal RNA, internal transcribed spacer 2, and large subunit ribosomal RNA". The stretch from base 1 to 120 matches the Rfam family "5.8S ribosomal RNA", at positions 35 to 154 of the family's 154-position model. The record is from RNAcentral.
GAUGAAGAACGUAGCGAAAUGCGAUAAGUAGUGUGAAUUGCAGAAUUCAGUGAAUCAUCGAAUAUUUGAACGCACAUUGCGCCUCUUGGUAUUCCAUGGGGCAUGCCUGUUCGAGCGUCAUUUGUACCUUCAAGCUCUGCUUGGUGUUGGGUGUUUGUCUCGCCUCUGCGUGUAGACUCGCCUCAAAACAAUUGGCAGCCGGCGUAUUGAUUUCGGAGCGCAGUACAUCUCGCGCUUUGCACUCAUAACGACGACGUCCAAAAGUACAUUUUUACACUCUUGACCUCGGAUCAGGUAGGGAUACCCGCUGAACUUAAGCAUAUCAAUAAGCGGAGGA